UCCCCCCCUGCUGUAUGGUAACAGCCUCACUCCCUCAUUACCUCUCCCCCUCCUUGUCAGUGCCACACUCAGUGGCUUGUAUACCCUCCUGUACCAGAUGACCAGCCUCACCAGAGUCGCCAAGAUACACGCUGCCGAGGCCGCGCACAGCAGCAGGCAGCCUGCGAAAAGCCAGAUACAGAACACCCCCGCACCUCCCACAGCGGCACCACGUCGCCGGCUGCCCGGUUCAUGGAUCACCCACGAAGGGAUCGUUGCUGUGGCUACCCGGAGUUUCUGUGUCCCCACAGGUUUUGUUGGCGUCGCGGUUUUCCUGUUAGUAAGACUUUCAGUUGAAGGUCUGACGGUGGGAAGAGUGGAAUGACUGGCCAAGGUAUGCGACCCAACCAACGGCACUUCAGUCUUCACCACUGACCCCGAAUCAUUUGACCAUUCGGUGCGUUUGGUGAAGGAUUGGUACCAGGACCAUGUGACUACUCUGUGGUACGCAGUGUGGGGUUCUUCUACGAAUGCUGGGGUAGCGGUUGAAGUGGUAACAGGAGCAGUAGUAUGAAUAGGAGAAGUAGGAGGAAGAGGCGGAGGAGGAGGAGAAGGAGAAGGAAUGUUGGCAGCAGCUGGAACAGGAGCAGUAGUAUGAAUAGGAGGAGGAGGAGUAGGAGGAAUGUUGGUAGCAGCUGGAACAGGAGCAGUAGUAUGAAUAGGAGGAGGAGGAGUAGGAGGAAUGUUGGUAGCAGCUGGAAAAGGAGCAGUAGUAUGAAUAGGAGGAGGAGGAGUAGGAGGAAUGUUGGUAGCAGCUGGAACAGUGAUAGCAACAGUAGCUGCCUUGUAGGGAGCGUCGGUCGUCACUGGCUCGUAGAAGUCUCCUGGUGCAGGUGAACAGAAAUCAGAUUCUCCCAGACUCAUUACAGGUUUACCUUUAUGCCACUGUGGAGAGUCACACACCUGAGAACAAAGAACAACCAUCAACAAUGUAUCCCGAAAAUCCCCAAAUCCUUUAGACUUGGGUUUGGAGUAUUUUCGUGCUUUCAUGUUCCCCUUUUCUGCAGCUGUUUUUUCCCAUGUGUGGUACUUACCACACUCUCUGCGUCACUCUUGAUGAGCGGGCCAUCCCGGACAUAGACGUUGAGUUCAUAGUCGUCAAGGUAUCUACGCAAGUAACCGAGGGAGCAGGAGCAGGCCCAGGGAUUGGCUGAGAGGUAUAGGUAUGGCACUUCCUCCUUCUGGCUGAACCAAUUGUCUGGCAUCACCGUGAUCUGGAGGGAAAAGGAAAUGUCGUGAAGCUUUAGACACACCAACUUGAGCUCCCGUACCGCCUCGAUCUGACUGAGUUUUUGCUCAAAUACGUGCAAAGCUCUGUGGUCAGUGUUCUCCCACCUUGUUUUUCUCCAGGUAGAGGGUCUCAAUGGCAGGAAGGGGGUGGAGCAUGAGCUCGGGAAGCACCUUGAUCUGAUUUGAAGACAAAUCCAGGAUCUAGAGGGUAGGACAGCCAGUCAAUUGCGGAGUCAAGUGUUUGACAGUUGAAAGUAUCCUGGUGUUGCUGGUGUGAAAACUAAGCUAGCAUGCUACCUUCACAGUAUGUGCCCUGACUUCCUAACAUGCCGUGUUCACAUGCAUUUUUCUCAGCUAACAGGCUACUGUUAACAUGCUAACACACUGACCUCCAGCUUGCUGAGUCCAGAGAAGGUGCGGUCACUCAGAGAGUCUAUGGCGUUGUUGUCCAGGUAGAGUUCGGUCAGACCCGGACAGGCAGAGAAGGAGCCAUCAGAGAGGGAUGUUAGACUGUUGGAGCCCAGUCGGAGAACACUGAGGCUGGGCAGGAUUGGAGAAACACUGGAGGUCACCUCAGGAACCUGCACACACGACAAUUUGAGACGAUCAAGUGUUGAAUGAAACAUGUUUCAUUUAAUACUGACAUCAACAGAGUUUAACAUCAUUGAUCCAGCAUUUAUUUUUAUUUUCAUGGGCGUGGUGCAGACAGACACCUUGUUGCCUGUGAGGUCGAUCUCAUAGAUCUCUGUGAAGAUCUGGAAGGAGGACCAGGACAGACUGGAGAAUAGGUUGUUGGGAAACAACAGAACCUAAAAGCAGAGAGAGAGUAGAAGAAGAAAACCAUUUAGAGUUGUUCCUGUCAAACUGUCAUCUUGUCGCUCUCAAACAGGAAGCUGUGGUCUGGAGUUGAGCUCUGACGGUCAGGAUAAGACCGCCGUCUGGAUCCCUGAAAGCCGUGUGAUCAUCUCAUUUACAGUGUUUUACAGACUUUUGGUCCACCUCCUCGUAGAUCUGUAUGAGCAUCUGGUCCCAGCGGUCCUGCUUCACUCAGCAGAAUGUCGUCUGCAGACGAUUCCAGAACGUCGCUCACAUUUCAACACCUCUUAUUGUUCCACAGCAUGUCGGAUGUUUAAUCGUGGGACACAGUUCACUGCAUCAAACAUGAUUAUUAUAUUUGAAUAAUUUAGUGUGAUUUCGUGUGUCUUGUUAUGUAGAGACACAUAUUAAUAUCGAGAAAUUAUCCAUAUUAAUACUGCGACUGAUCGUAUCGCCCAGCCCUGGCGUGCACUCGUAAGCAUCAGUUUGACUCAAAGUCCACAGACGUCCUGGUAGAAACACAGAGGGGACUGUCAUGUCUUUUUCCUGUCAGGACUAAAAGGACAGACUGGAGUCCCUGGACGUCGCUCGUCUCUGUCCUGGUCCAGCUGCCGUCUGUGCUUCUGGCGCUCUUACCUUGGUCGAGGGUUCGAAUCCCGCCGGGACGUCGCUGAAGCCGGCCGCCGUGCAGUUCUCCCUCGGCCGGUGGUCCUUGUCCCUGUCGCUGUGGCAGCCGGAUACCACGGUAACCACUGCAACGUGGGACAGGAGGAAGAGGAUGAUGAAGACCAGCAUUCUGACAAAGACCUUCAGCUCCUGAAAGAAAGUCUGAGUCUGAGAAGAGAAACCAAACAUACCAGGAAGUAUCUGUGUGUGUGUGUGUGUGUGUGUGUGUGUGUGUGUGUGUGUGUGUGUGUGUGCUUUUGUCUGUGUGUGUGCUUUUGUCUGUGUGUGUGCGUGUGUCUGUGUGUGUGUGUAUGUGUGUGUGGUUUGAUUGACAGGUGCUGGAGCAGGAAACCCUCAGAGUUCAGCUGUUGUCCUGCUGAUUACUGCCCCCUGCUCUCUGAUAACUUUGUGUGUGUGUGUGUGUGAUAUAUGGUCUGUACUUCGUUCUGCUGCCCCCAUGUGGUCACAUGUGGACUGGACUUGAAUAUCAGUUUCAGUUUAGAUAACAGCUGCUUCACUUUCAUUCCACAGAAUCAGCUCAGCUCACUGCAGCUCUCAGCCUGGCUCGGCUCGGCUCGGCUCGGCUCUCUGGCUCUCAGCUGUCAUGAUGCUGAAGGUUUUCCUCUCGUGCUGCCUGCUCUCCCCCCUCGUCUCUGCGCUGAAAGGUGAGUUCAGUCCUGUCGGGACAGGUCGAUCAGCUGGAGCUCGUUUCUGCUGACAGACAGGUGAGCUGCUCGGCAGGUGAUGGUCCUGAUUCAAGUCCCGUUUCUGUGACUGUUGAUGAGUGAGCGGACAGAGAAGAAUGACAUGAGAGAUGCUCUGAUGACGAGGUGAAAGUGAAAGUGUUGCUGCAGCAGGAUGAUGCGCUCCAUUAAAUCCGUGUGCAAAGGUGGGCGUGGCCGCUCACGUGUCUGCUCACAACUCGAGCUGCCUGAGCAGUCCUGAUCCGCCUGGAGGACUGGACUCUGCUGCCAAAGGUGGUUCAGAUCCCAGAUCCAGUUCACACCUAGUUACUGAAGGUCUGCAGGCUUUGUGACUGUGUUUCAAGUUGUCACUUCCUGUGUUGAAUAUCAUUGAAUGUUUGCUUCAGUGACAGCAUGUCAUAUGAAAUAAUGCUGAGAAUAACAUUGUAUUGAUUGUUACAAAUCGUAUUAGUAACGUGUGAUAUUAGUUCAUUAUUGUUAAAAGUAACAUGAAACUGUCACAUGUUGGUUUUUCUUUCUGCAUGUGUUUUAUAAGAAAUAAAUAUGAAGUCGCAGGCAGGAAUUCCUGGAUAUUGUGUGUUUGUGCUCAACCCUGAUGUCAGCAGACUGAUUCAUCAACAUGUCAGGAUGUGGACAGACUGGACGCUGUGACGGCGUCGACGAUGACCAGGUUCAGGUAUCAUUUUGGUCCUGACCUUCUCUCAGCGUCACAUGUUUGCUGGGAGGUUUGACCUGUUUCCUGAUGUGUGUUCCAGACACCUGACCCAGACCCUCAGGAGCUAAAGGUGAAGCCUGAGCAGGACGUCACUCUUCAGUGUCGGGCUCCCAGAGGUUCCUCCAUCACACUGGUGGAGUGGAACAGAGCUGACCUGAGGUCAGACGGUUACCUGUUCUUUUACCGUAACGAGCGCUCGUACGAAAACUUCCAGCAUCCGUCUUUUCGUGGUCGAGUGAAGCUGAGGGAUCCAGAGAUGAAGGACGGAGACGCUUCUGUUGUUCUGAGGAACGUCACCGUCAACGACACCGGAACAUACGAGUGUCGAAUCAUAAUCAUCAACACAGGACGCGCUGAGGCGGAGCCCGCUGUGAUCAAACACCUCAUCAACCUCAAAGUUACAGAGCCAGCUGGAAACACCUGGAGUGGAGUAAACAGGGGUGGAUAUGUUGGACUGGUCGUCCCGUCAGCUGCUGCUGCUGUUGGCUUUCUUGCUGUUGUUGUUUGUAUUUUCUGUUUUAUUUGUAAGAAACGUGAGCAGAAGUCAUUCAGAGCUCCUCCUGAAGAGGAAGGUGAGCAGGAGGCCUGAAGAGGCUCACAUCUCUUUACUCCUGAACGCUUGUCUUUAGGAAGGUUUAAUGAAGUGAACUCAGACAGGAAGUGGUCACAUCCAGGUAAACCUGACUUCCUGAACACUUCCUGACUGAAAGCCCUGAAGGUAAACGUCUGCUAAAGAACUGCUGUUUAAUUCAUGUUCAGUGUGUUUCAAUUAGUGCUCUCUCUGAUCUUUACUGUUUUUCAUGACGAGCAUUUUUAUAUAUUUAGUUUAAUUGUAACAUUAGCUGUGAUUAUUGGUUAUUAAUCAUCAGCGUCAACAGCACGGAGCAGAAAGCAGACAUCAAUAAAUGACAACGUGACAGAGAAACAAAACCGCAGUGAGUCAUAAGAAGUAACUCAGAACAAUAAAUGCAGAUAAAUACAUAAAAGAUCCCUUCAUGAACACGAGGACAGACGAUCAGGAGUAAAGGAGUCGAACAGUGAAGCGUUUUCCUCUGCAUGUGCAGGUUUCACUCCCUGAAUGUUCUCACCAUCCAUGUUGCAAAGCACUUUAUUACACCACUGCAAGCUUUUAUUUAUUCUGUUAAUGAACUUCUGAACACGUUUCCUUUGUGUUAAUGAGGAGUUAUAUACAUAAAUAUAUAUAUAUAUAAAACAAUGAAAAGCAUUUAUCGACGCGGUGGAACCACAUGAAGCCUGAUCCUGGUUCAAGUUCAAUAAAAACUCAUAAU
RNA transcript from Chelmon rostratus (copperband butterflyfish), 5459 nucleotides. It is a transcript of the gene named coxsackievirus and adenovirus receptor homolog, with no coding region annotated. The transcript has 3 exons. The record is from RefSeq and is a predicted model, not a curated record. NCBI's taxonomy places the organism in Eukaryota, Metazoa, Chordata, Actinopteri, Chaetodontiformes, Chaetodontidae.